UCCCCCAGUGGCGCAUUGGUUAGCGCGCGGUACUUAUAAUCCCGGGGGCGUGAUUUCGAUCCUCACCGGGGAAG
Trichonephila inaurata madagascariensis is the source of this 74-nucleotide non-coding RNA. The record is from the annotation of a GenBank genome assembly. NCBI's taxonomy places the organism in Eukaryota, Metazoa, Arthropoda, Arachnida, Araneae, Nephilidae.